This 333-nucleotide ribosomal RNA is filed under the name uncultured bacterium. RNAcentral describes it as "bacterial SSU rRNA". It matches the Rfam family "Bacterial small subunit ribosomal RNA", at positions 568 to 898 of the family's 1533-position model. The record is from RNAcentral.
AACGCAGGUGGUUUGGUAAGUCAGGGGUGAAAGUCCACAGCUUAACUGUGGCACUGCCUUUGAUACUACCUUUCUUGAGUGCAUGAGGGGGAAGCGGAAUUCCGAGUGUAGAGGUGAAAUUCGUAGAUAUUCGGAGGAACACCGGUGGCGAAGGCGGCUUCCUGGCAUGUAACUGACACUCAUGUUCGAAAGCGUGGGGAGCAAACAGGAUUAGAUACCCUGGUAGUCCACGCCCUAAACGAUGGGCACUAGGUGUGGGAGGUAUCGACCCCUUCCGUGCCGCAGCUAACGCAUUAAGUGCCCCGCCUGGGGGAGUACGGCCGCAAGGUUGAA